RNAcentral lists this ribosomal RNA (303 nucleotides) under uncultured bacterium. RNAcentral describes it as "partial 16S ribosomal RNA". It matches the Rfam family "Bacterial small subunit ribosomal RNA", at positions 507 to 807 of the family's 1533-position model. The record is from RNAcentral.
AGCAGCCGCCGCGGUAAUACGGAGGAUCCAAGCGUUAUCCGGAAUCAUUGGGUUUAAAGGGUCCGUAGGCGGUCUUGUAAGUCAGUGGUGAAAGCCCAUCGCUCAACGGUGGAACGGCCAUUGAUACUGCAGGACUUGAAUUAUUGGGAAGUAACUAGAAUAUGUAGUGUAGCGGUGAAAUGCUUAGAGAUUACAUGGAAUACCAAUUGCGAAGGCAGGUUACUACCAAUUGAUUGACGCUGAUGGACGAAAGCGUGGGUAGCGAACAGGAUUAGAUACCCCAGUAGUCCCUGUCUCUUAUAC